CUACGGGCUGCUCCAGCGGGGAAUAUUGCACAAUGGAGGAAACUCUGAUGCAGCAACGCCGCGUGGAGGAUGACACUUUUCGGAGCGUAAACUCCUUUUAUAUAGGAAGAAGAUGACGGUACUAUAUGAAUAAGCGCCGGCUAACUCCGUGCCAGCAGCCGCGGUAAUACGGAGGGCGCAAGCGUUACUCGGAAUCACUGGGCGUAAAGAGCGUGUAGGCGGAUUAAAAAGUCAGAAGUGAAAUCCUAUAGCUUAACUAUAGAACUGCUUCUGAAACUCUUAAUCUAGAAUAUGGGAGAGGUAGAUGGAAUUUCUGGUGUAGGGGUAAAAUCCGUAGAGAUCAGAAGGAAUACCGAUUGCGAAGGCGAUCUACUAGAACAUUAUUGACGCUGAGGCGCGAAAGCGUGGGGAGCAAACAGGAUUAGAUACCCCUGUAGUC
This 439-nucleotide ribosomal RNA is filed under the name uncultured bacterium. RNAcentral's name for it is "partial 16S ribosomal RNA". It matches the Rfam family "Bacterial small subunit ribosomal RNA", at positions 339 to 795 of the family's 1533-position model. The record is from RNAcentral.